Glycine max (soybean) is the source of this 88-nucleotide non-coding RNA. Lineage: Eukaryota; Viridiplantae; Streptophyta; Magnoliopsida; Fabales; Fabaceae. The record is from Rfam.
GUCUCUGAGGAUGAUGAAAAAAUAUAACUUUCGUUCUUCCGAAUUUUCGAUGAGGAAAAUACAUGGAGACGACCUGAACUGAAGAGGC